This 890-nucleotide non-coding RNA is filed under the name Plectranthias maekawa. RNAcentral describes it as "partial 12S rRNA". It matches the Rfam family "Bacterial small subunit ribosomal RNA", at positions 307 to 1533 of the family's 1533-position model. The record is from RNAcentral. Lineage: Eukaryota; Metazoa; Chordata; Actinopteri; Perciformes; Anthiadidae.
CCUCCCGUGAGGAUGCCCUAUGUUCCCCUAAGUCGGGAACAAGGAGCCGGUAUCAGGCACACCCCUACAGCCCACGACACCUUGCUUAGCCACACCCCUAAGGGAACUCAGCAGUGGUAAACAUUAAGCCAUGAGUGAAAACUUGACUUAGCUAUGGCUAAAAGGGCCGGUAAACCUCGUGCCAGCCACCGCGGUUAUACGAGGGGCCCAAGUUGAUAGCCGUCGGCGUAAAGGGUGGUUAAGGUAGAACUAACACUAAAGCCGAAUGUACACAAAGCUGUUAUACGCACUCGAAAAUAAGAAGCUCAAUUACGAAAGUAGCUUUACAUCUCCCGAAUCCACGAAAACUAUGACACAAACUGGGAUUAGAUACCCCACUAUGCCUAGCCCUAAACAUCGAUAGCAUACUACACCCACUAUCCGCCCGGGAACUACGAGCAUUAGCUUAAAACCCAAAGGACUUGGCGGUGCUUUAGAUCCCCCUAGAGGAGCCUGUCCUAGAACCGAUAAUCCCCGUUUAACCUCACCUUUUCUUGCCCGUUCCGCUUAUAUACCGCCGUCGUCAGCUUACCCUGUGAAGGUCCCAUAGUAAGCAAAGCCGGUGUACCCCCAUACGUCAGGUCGAGGUGUAGCGCAUGAAAAGGUUAGAGAUGGGCUACAUUUACUAUUUUAGUAAACACGAAUGAUGCAGUGAAACCCCGCAUCCGAAGGAGGAUUUAGCAGUAAGCAUGAAAACAGAGUGUUCUGCUGAAUGCGGCCCUGAAGCGCGCACACACCGCCCGUCACUCUCCCCAAAAUGAAGACAUCAACAGUAACUAAAAACUUUUAGAGCCCUAAGGGGAGGCAAGUCGUAACAUGGUAAGUGUACCGGAAGGUGUACUUGGUAAAUU